UACGUAGGUGGCAAGCGUUGUCCGGAAUCAUUGGGCGUAAAGCGCGCGUAGGCGGCUUGUCAGGUCCGAUGUGAAAUCUUGAGGCUCAACCUUAAGCGUGCAUCGGAAACCGGCUUGCUAGAGUCUGGGAGAGGAGAGUGGAAUUCCUGGUGUAGCGGUGAAAUGCGUAGAUAUCAGGAGGAACACCGGUUGCGAAGGCGGCUCUCUGGAACAGUACUGACGCUGAGGCGCGAAAGCUAGGGGAGCGAACAGG
This 253-nucleotide ribosomal RNA is filed under the name uncultured bacterium. RNAcentral's name for it is "partial 16S ribosomal RNA". It matches the Rfam family "Bacterial small subunit ribosomal RNA", at positions 524 to 776 of the family's 1533-position model. The record is from RNAcentral.